Molecule: long non-coding RNA, 444 nt
Organism: Pongo pygmaeus (Bornean orangutan)
Lineage: Eukaryota; Metazoa; Chordata; Mammalia; Primates; Hominidae
Exons: 3
Source: RefSeq, a predicted model, not a curated record
GGUGGAGCCAAGAUGGCCGAAUAGGAACAGCUCGGGUCUACAGCUCCCAGCGUGAGCCACGCUGAAGACGGAAGAUGCAGAUGCCUCCAGCUAUUACGAGUCCCACUGCAACAAGGAUCAGAGGCAGAGCCGCUUUCCAUGCCAUGAACUGGGAGCUUCUAGAGAAGGUAGCUGGAGAAAGAUUCCCAGAAGCCAGGAAUAUUGGGAACCAUGGGACACCAUGCCAAGAGUGAGCCCUCAUGAAAACUGUGCACUCUGGGUGCUGACGGCAUUGUCAACGGAGGUUCAUCAAACAUGGUGGACGUUCCUUCUGGUGUAGGGUUUUUAUGCUGGGGGAAGAUGUGUGAGGGGGUUAGGGGAAGAUGGGAACUCUCUGUACUUUCUACUAAAAUUUGUUGUGACCCUAAAACUGCUUUAAAAAAUAAAGCCUAUUUUACAAACCCU